This 304-nucleotide ribosomal RNA is filed under the name uncultured bacterium. RNAcentral's name for it is "bacterial SSU rRNA". It matches the Rfam family "Bacterial small subunit ribosomal RNA", at positions 29 to 334 of the family's 1533-position model. The record is from RNAcentral.
AACGAACGCUGGCGGCAUGCCUAACACAUGCAAGUCGAACGAGAAACCGGAGCUUGCUCCGGCAGACAGUGGCGGACGGGUGAGUAACGCGUGGGGACCUGCCUUAGGGUACGGAACAACAGUUAGAAAUGACUGCUAAUACCGUAUACGUUCUCUUUCAUAGAGUUAAGAGAAGAAAAUUUAUUGCCCGUUAGAUGGACCCGCGUUAGAUUAGCUAGUUGGUGAGGUAAUGGCUCACCAAGGCGACGAUCUAUAGCUGGUUUGAGAGGAUGAUCAGCCACACUGGGACUGAGACACGGCCCAG